AGGACGAACGCUGGCGGCGUGCCUAACACAUGCAAGUGGAGCGACGAACCAGGCUUCGGCCUGGGGCAAAGCCGCGAACGGGUGAGUAACACGUGGGUAACCUGCCCCGAUGAUUGGGACAACCCGAGGAAACUCGGGCUAAUACCGAAUGUGCCCUACGGCCAUAAGGCCGCUGGGGAAAGGAAGCUUCGGCCUCCGCAUCGGGAUGGGCCCGCGGCCCAUUAGCUUGUUGGUGAGGUAACGGCUCACCAAGGCGACGAUGGGUAGCUGGUCUGAGAGGACGAUCAGCCACACUGGGACUGAGACACGGCCCAGACUCCUACGGGAGGCAGCAGUGGGGAAUCUUGCGCAAUGCGCGAAAGCGUGACGCAGCAACGCCGCGUGGGGGAAGAAGGCCUUCGGGUUGUAAACCCCUUUCAGUUGGGACGAAGCUUCGCCGGUGAAUAGCCGGUUGGAGGUGACGGUACCUUCAGAAGAAGCCCGGCUAACUACGCGCCAGCAGCCGCGGU
RNAcentral lists this ribosomal RNA (509 nucleotides) under uncultured bacterium. RNAcentral's name for it is "SSU rRNA". It matches the Rfam family "Bacterial small subunit ribosomal RNA", at positions 26 to 521 of the family's 1533-position model. The record is from RNAcentral.